AUUGAACGCUGGCGGCAGGCCUAACACAUGCAAGUCGAACGAGUGGCGGACGGGUGAGUAAUGUCUGUGAAACUGCCUGAUGGAGGGGGAUAACUACUGGAAACUGUAGCUAAUACCGCAUACCAUCGGAUGUGCCCAGAUGGGAUUAGCUAGUAGGUGGGGUAAAGGCUCACCUAGGCGACGAUCCCUAGCUGGUCUGCGAGGAUGACCAGCCAAACUGGAACUGAGACACGGGCCAGACUCCUACGGGAGGCAGCAGUGGGGAAUAUUGCACAAUGGGCGCAAGCCUGAUGCAGCCAUGACGCGUGUAUGAAGAAGGCCGUCGGGUUGUAAAGUACUGUCAGCGGGGAGGCGUUACCCGCAGAAGAAGCACCGGCGAACUCCGUGCCAGCAGCCGCGGUAAUUC
RNAcentral lists this ribosomal RNA (406 nucleotides) under uncultured bacterium. RNAcentral's name for it is "partial 16S ribosomal RNA". It matches the Rfam family "Bacterial small subunit ribosomal RNA", at positions 30 to 526 of the family's 1533-position model. The record is from RNAcentral.